AAUAUGAAGUUUUGGAUGAAGAAGUUCACGGUUGCCAACUUAUGGAUUUGGGUUUCGUUGGAUAUAGCUUCAUUUGGGUUAGAGGGUUGUAAGAGAAAGACUUGAUUGGGCGUUAGGUUCCAUCAGUUGCGAACUUCUUUUGCAGAAGUUGUGGUCUUUCAUUUACCUAGAACUAAAUCAGAUCAUUGUCCAAUUAUUCUCAGCCUUGAAGGGAGUCCCUCUCCUCCCAUUCAUGCUCGACAAUUUAAAUUCCAGGCGGCGUGGUUGACACACAAGGAAUUUACUGGUUUCAUUAAAGAUCAUUGGAAAGAUAGAGCAAUCUUGCAAUGAAAUCUGGCACAUGAUCCGGCUCUGAAUUGGAGCCUCACUAGCAGGGAAAAAAAUAAUAUAAAAGAAAUUGGAAAGGUAAUAAAGAAAGUGACGUGACGUCUACUGAUGCCUGCUUGGACGUGUUCAAGAGCUACUAUUGGCUGUCUUUGUGAUGCUUGCGUAAGCAUGACACCUCAUUGUAGGUAAUGUUUAUCAGUCAUGGGACCCAUGUUUGGCCCACGUGGAUCAAUGUUUUACCACUCCUUACCCAUGUUGCUUUUCAUGCUUUCAAGGUUUUUUGGUUUGCCAUUUGAAUAGGCAAACCUAUAAUUUAUAAUUUUCAGGUAAAUUUUUUUUUUG
Molecule: long non-coding RNA, 669 nt
Organism: Ricinus communis (castor bean)
Lineage: Eukaryota; Viridiplantae; Streptophyta; Magnoliopsida; Malpighiales; Euphorbiaceae
Exons: 3
Source: RefSeq, a predicted model, not a curated record